CCCAGCUACUUGGGAGGCUGAGGCAGGAGAAUCACUUGAAUCUGGGAGGUGGAGGUUGCAGUGAGCCAAGAUUGCGCCACUGCACUGCAGCCUGGGCAAGAGUGAGACUCUGUCUCAAAAAAAAAAAAGAUUAUUAUAACGUAUAUAUUCAUUAUAGUAAAUACUCAUGAACGGAAGGAAAAAUCAUGCAUAAUGUUACUGCCAAAAAAACACUUAUGUUAACAGGAUUCUACCUUAUGUAGAAGGAUUCUACCUUUUAUGUUUUUUAGAUUUGUAUUCUCACUGUGCAUCAUGUAUAUUGAAUUUUAGACACUUUAAAAUUAUAACAUGAUAAUGGCCGGCCUCGGUGGCUCACACCUGUAAUCUCAGUACUUUGGGAGGCUGAGGCAGGCAGAUCACCAGAGGUCAGGAGUUCGAGACUAGCCUGGCCAACAUGGCAAAACUCCGUCUCUACUAAAAAUACAAAAAUUAGCCGGGCAGACAGAUCACCUGAGGUCAGGAGUUCGGGACCGCCCUGGCCAACAUGGUGAAACCCCAUCUCUACUAAAAAUAGAAAAAUUAGCCGGGCAUGUUGGCAUGCGCCUGUAAUCCCAGCUAUUCAGGAGGCUGAGGCAGGAGAAUCGCUUGAACCCAGGAGGCGUAGGUUGCAGUGACCCGAGAUCGUGCCAUUGCAUUCCAGGCUGGUUGAAAAGAGCGAGACUCCAUCUCAAAAAAAAAAAAAAAAAAAAAAAGAAACAUUAUAAGAAAAAAAGAAAAAAAAGAGCAAGGAAACAUAAGAGAUAAACAUUUUUCCACACUUUCCAUCGCCCAGGCUGGAGUGCAGUGGCAUGAUCUCGGCUCACUGCAACCUCUGCCUCCCAGGUUCCAGCAAUUCUCCUGCCUCUGCCUCCCGAGUACCUGGGAUUACAGGUGCCUGCUACCAUGCCCAGCUAAUUUUUGUAUUUUUAGUAGAGACAGGGUUUUGCCACGUUGGCCAGACUGGUCUCGAACUCCUGACCUCAGGUGAUCCACCCACCUCGGCCUCUCAAAGUGCUGGGAUUACAGGUUUGAACCACUGCACCCGGCCAGUAAAAGAAAUUUUGAAGGCCAUUGCAGCUAUUUGGUAGUGUCUUGUUAUUUCUAGGUGUACCUUAGUUAAAGAGGAAAAAUAAAACGGAAAAAAGCUUGGAAAUCAGUGAUGUGUAGUUAUUUGGCAAGUUAUACAUAAUCAGCAGCAGCCAGGCUCAAGAAAAUAAAAGUUGAUUAGUUGAUCAGAAAUAAAAUCUGUAGAGUGAAUUAGAUUUCUGAGUUGUUGUUGUUAAUGGAACAUUCUAUUUGAGACCUUUUUCAGGUGUGUAGCAAUUCUACCAUGUCCAUUUUUUUAAGCAUUAAAAAGGAACUUACCAGUUGUAAAUUAAGACAAGAUCCAAAUAGUCAUAUUUUUGUGUUUCCUCUAAAAAAAUGUAAGAUUUCCAUUUUUGGCACUGACUAACUGAGCCUACAUCUAGAUUUUAAAUACCAUCUUGAAUCCUAAUAAUUAAACUGAUGAAAGUGCAUAUCAUUGUUCCUAACAUUUAUGAACCCCCAUAAAGAUGUUCCUGAUCUUUAAAACUCAUUAAUCUGAGUAUUAAGUAGAAACAGAAUUUUCCAAAGCAUUAGACAUCACUUUCUCAGUUUAUCUGAGGUGACUUCGUGUACAUCUGUUUCUAAUAUAUUUGACUAAUUUUCAUGAUCUCAGAUUGUGAGGUAAAUGUAAUCUGGAAUAAUAAGUGUCUUUUACCUAGAUUACAUCUCUCAUUUGGAGUUUGGCAAUGAAACUGCUAUGAAGAAUGACUGUACUCUCCUAUCUGUCCCUGGAUGACAUAAAUAUCAUUUGCUUUGUUGUUUAAACUGAAAUAAAGUUUUCCAAGAACAAAGUAAGCAUUCUUCAUUCUUUUUCAGUUUUAAUUCCAAAUAUACUUUAUAGAUUUUUUUGCAGAAUUUAAUGAGGUGAUGCUUUAAUCAUAUGAAUAAUAAAUGCACCUGAGAUUUCUCUCUAGUAAAGAAAAGAAAAUAUGGAAACACUUUUAUGGUAAGAAAGUUACUUCUUGGCAUUUGAACAAAUAACUUGGGAGGGUAAUCCACUGAAUCAGUCAUUUUCAAUUUCACUUAUUGUAACUUAUGGUUAUAGUUGCUAGGGAUCAUUUUGAUCAUCUUUGAUAGAAUUCUUUUUGUUAUUUCUCCUUUCUAAAUUUUGCUUUGUUAUGAUUCAGAACAGAUCAUAUUAAAGGGCCAGCUUAUAUUUUAUGUAAACCAGUAGAAGAAAAAGUACCCAACAAGGUAAAGAUGUUUAGAAAAUAAUGUUUCAAAAGUUUGGUGAUUUUAUAGUCAAGG
This 2352-nucleotide long non-coding RNA is filed under the name Homo sapiens (human). RNAcentral's name for it is "HSALNT0390854". The record is from RNAcentral. Lineage: Eukaryota; Metazoa; Chordata; Mammalia; Primates; Hominidae.